GCACACUCAAUUACUACAUAUUUGCAAUAACACUGUAGAAUUUUAUAUUUGACAUUUUCAUUUGACAUUAUUCCAUGUCUAUUGUUCUGUGUUGUUUUAGUCUUUCUUACCUUUUUUGUGCCCACUUCUUUCCCCUAACCACCUCCAAAUACUCUCUGCCCAAUGUAUCCUAAUUCCACUCAAUUCUCAUGAAACCACAUACAAAUGUAUAUAUGUAUAAUUUGUUUAUUGUUUGAUAAAAGUGAAUCACAUUCCAUAAACUUCCUAUUUACUUUCCUCAUUUGAUGGUACACCAUGGAUAUAUUUCCAGGUCAAUAGAUCUAGAUCCAAUUCACUGAAAAUAAACCUGCCAAAUAUAAUUGUUUUGCUGCUAAUUCAACCUUUAUUGAUGGACAUCAGGAUUUUCCAGUUACCAUCAACAAUAUCACAAUAAACAUUCUUGUAUGUACAUCCUUUAUAGAAGUAUGUAUCUAUUACUUCUGUAGAAUAUGUUCUUGGUUUGUUGGGUUAAAGGUAAGUGUAGCCGAGCAUGGUGGCUUACGCCUGUAAUCCCAGCACUUUGGGAGGCCAAGGUGAGUGAAUCACCUGAGGUCAGGAGUUUGAGACCAGCAUAGCUAACAUGGUGAAACCCCGUCUCUACUAAAAAUACAAAGAUUAAUCCGCCGGGCACGGUGGCUUUUCUAAAGCAACUUUUAGGGAAUGUUGCAGAAUCAACCCACAUUCAAUCUAUUAACUCCAUCAGACAUUUACUGAGCACAUGUUAUGUACAAGACACCAUCCUAGGCAUUGAUGAGAAUAGAGCAUAAAGAGAAAUAUGGCAGGAUUGGAGUUAAGAUUCGUCUGGGGGAGAAAACACCAUGUAGGUAGUAAUAAGCCGUGCAUUAAGUCUUUCUUGGUAUGAAGUGAGAGAAAACUCCAUUCAAACUGACUUAAACAAACAAAAAAAUUAUUCAUGGCUGGGCAUGGUGACUUAUACCUGUAAUCCUAGCACGUUGGGAGGCUGAGGCAGGAGGACUACUUGAGGCCAG
This 1028-nucleotide long non-coding RNA is filed under the name Homo sapiens (human). RNAcentral describes it as "HSALNT0179416". The record is from RNAcentral. Lineage: Eukaryota; Metazoa; Chordata; Mammalia; Primates; Hominidae.